GGGGCCGUGGCGCAACGGUAGCGCGUCUGAUUCCAGUCCAGAAGGUUGGGUGUUCAAGUCACCCCGGCCUCA
This is a transfer RNA of Phlebiopsis gigantea 11061_1 CR5-6, 72 nucleotides long. It matches the Rfam family "tRNA". Rfam says of the family: Transfer RNA (tRNA) molecules are approximately 80 nucleotides in length. Lineage: Eukaryota; Fungi; Basidiomycota; Agaricomycetes; Polyporales; Phanerochaetaceae. The record is from Rfam.